Non-coding RNA from Podarcis lilfordi (Lilford's wall lizard), 74 nucleotides. NCBI's taxonomy places the organism in Eukaryota, Metazoa, Chordata, Lepidosauria, Squamata, Lacertidae. The record is from the annotation of a GenBank genome assembly.
GGAGAACUGUGGCUCAGUGACAGAGCACCUGCUUUGCAUGCAGAAGGUCUCAUGUUUGAUCCUUGGCAUCUCCA